CUGAAACGAAAGAGCUGGUUCCAAAUUGGCCCUUGAAGUUCUAGCAUGAGUUUGUGUUUCAUGCAUCUUUCUAGGGUUUCUCUGGAACAUAAAUGGCAGUAAUGUUGUGCCUCAACUAUGAAGAAGCUUUAGUGGAGUUUUAGAUGUCUUUCUAUGGAUACUUUGAAAUUAUAUAGAGAACAGAGGUGGAUCUGUGACAAGGCUUCAAUGGAGGUCAGGAAAUCGUUUUAGGGUUUCUCAGUAGCAAAAAAGGUCCAAGAAAUUAUCGAAAACUCCAAACAAACCACCCACAAGAUGAUGUACUUACGUGCAUAUUUUUUGUGAACGACACAAUGUUGAUCGAUGAGACCGAAAACUAUGUCAAUACAAAAUUAGAACUUUG
RNAcentral lists this long non-coding RNA (382 nucleotides) under Amborella trichopoda. Its description in RNAcentral is "long non-coding RNA (ATRI_LNC004533)". The record is from RNAcentral. Lineage: Eukaryota; Viridiplantae; Streptophyta; Magnoliopsida; Amborellales; Amborellaceae.